This 206-nucleotide long non-coding RNA is filed under the name Lathyrus oleraceus (garden pea). RNAcentral's name for it is "Pisum sativum (pea) long non-coding RNA (PSAT_LNC011842)". Lineage: Eukaryota; Viridiplantae; Streptophyta; Magnoliopsida; Fabales; Fabaceae. The record is from RNAcentral.
ACUCGUCAGACUCAUGCAUUAUACUAAAAAGCAAAAUAAACAACUAAAAGGAAAUAACAAUAAAUAAACUAUCUAAAAACAGCAAAGUAAAAGCGAUAAAGGAAAAACGAGAAAAGCAAAUAAAGAAAAGACGAUAGAGUCUCCUCCCACACUUAAAUCGAACAUUGUCCCCAAUGUUUUGAAUCAAGAUAAGGGAAGAGUUACCU